Molecule: small nuclear RNA, 196 nt
Organism: Lineus longissimus
Lineage: Eukaryota; Metazoa; Nemertea; Pilidiophora; Heteronemertea; Lineidae
Product: U2 spliceosomal RNA
Exons: 1
Source: RefSeq, a predicted model, not a curated record
AUCGCUUCUCGGCCUAUUGGCUAAGAUCAAAGUGUAGUAUCUGUUCUUAUCCAUAUGGAGUACUGUGGGAUCGACGGGGCCGUCGCGACGCCGAGUGCUGUCUCGCCAAUAGGGCUUUCAGCACGGGCGUCGGGACGGCACCGGACGGGCUCACAGUAAAAUAAUGAAAAAUUCUAAACAAAUAGAUACAUCUUUU